RNAcentral lists this ribosomal RNA (210 nucleotides) under uncultured bacterium. Its description in RNAcentral is "partial 16S ribosomal RNA". It matches the Rfam family "Bacterial small subunit ribosomal RNA", at positions 1291 to 1500 of the family's 1533-position model. The record is from RNAcentral.
GUUCGGACUGUAGUCUGCAACCCGACUACACGAAGCUGGAAUCGCUAGUAAUCGCGAAUCAGAAUGUCGCGGUGAAUACGUUCCCGGGUCUUGUACACACCGCCCGUCACACCAUGGGAGUCGGGAAUGCCCGAAGUCAGUGACCCAACCUAUAGGAGGGAGCUGCCGAAGGCAGGUCUGAUAACUGGGGUGAAGUCGUAACAAGGUAAC